This 207-nucleotide ribosomal RNA is filed under the name uncultured bacterium. RNAcentral describes it as "partial 16S ribosomal RNA". It matches the Rfam family "Bacterial small subunit ribosomal RNA", at positions 568 to 774 of the family's 1533-position model. The record is from RNAcentral.
UGCGUAGGCGGAAGUGUAAGUCAGGGGUGAAAGUUUGCGGCUCAACCGUAAAAUUGCCUUUGAUACUGCAUUUCUUGAGUACAUUCGAGGUAGGCGGAAUGUGUCAUGUAGCGGUGAAAUGCUUAGAUAUGCCACAGAACACCGAUUGCGAAGGCAGCUUACUAGACUGUAACUGACGCUGAUGCACGAAAGCGUGGGGAUCGAACA